RNAcentral lists this long non-coding RNA (229 nucleotides) under Panax ginseng (ginseng). RNAcentral describes it as "long non-coding RNA (PGIN_LNC001784)". The record is from RNAcentral. Lineage: Eukaryota; Viridiplantae; Streptophyta; Magnoliopsida; Apiales; Araliaceae.
UCCUUGGUUAUGUCAACAUCAAAUAGGGGGAGAUUGUUGGAAGAAUGCAUAUUGUGAUUUGAUGUUUUAUGAAACAGCUCAUGAUUAUGCAGAGUUCUUUCUGCUGCUUCCUGUUAUAGUUAACCUUCUAUUAUCCUUUGGGCUUUUCUUCCAACUCACGAACAGUUGUUGAGACAUUACUUUGUGAACAUUCAAGGAUCCUCCCUCAUCAUCCUUAAUCUUGCUUCCC